This 76-nucleotide transfer RNA is filed under the name Massilia sp. Its description in RNAcentral is "tRNA-Gln". It matches the Rfam family "tRNA". From Rfam's summary of the family: Transfer RNA (tRNA) molecules are approximately 80 nucleotides in length. Their secondary structure includes four short double-helical elements and three loops (D, anti-codon, and T loops). Further hydrogen bonds mediate the characteristic L-shaped molecular structure. tRNAs have two regions of fundamental functional importance: the anti-codon, which is responsible for specific mRNA codon recognition, and the 3' end, to which the tRNAs corresponding amino acid is attached (by aminoacyl-tRNA synthetases). tRNAs cope with the degeneracy of the genetic code in two manners: having more than one tRNA (with a specific anti-codon) for a particular amino acid; and 'wobble' base-pairing, i.e. permitting non-standard base-pairing at the 3rd anti-codon position. The record is from RNAcentral. Lineage: Bacteria; Pseudomonadati; Pseudomonadota; Betaproteobacteria; Burkholderiales; Oxalobacteraceae.
AGGGGAAUCGCCAAGUUGGUCAAGGCACUGGAUUUUGAUUCCAGCAUCCAAGGUUCGAAUCCUUGUUCCCCUGCCA